Molecule: ribosomal RNA, 548 nt
Filed under: Thalamitoides spinigera
Lineage: Eukaryota; Metazoa; Arthropoda; Malacostraca; Decapoda; Portunidae
Description: partial 16S ribosomal RNA
Rfam family: Archaeal large subunit ribosomal RNA
Source: RNAcentral
GGCUAUUAUGAAAAUAUUUAUAGUCUAGCCUGCUCACUGAUAUGAAAUAUUAAAUAGCCGCGGUAUCUUGACCGUGCAAAGGUAGCAUAAUCAUUAGUUUUUUAAUUGGAAACUUGUAUGAAUGGUUGGACAAGGAAGAAUCUGUCUCUUUUAUAAAUAUUGAAUUUAACUUCUAGGUGAAAAGGCUUAGAUUUUUUAGAGGGACGAUAAGACCCUAUAAAGCUUUAUAAGUUUAAAAAUUUUUAUAUAUUUUUGUAUAAAAAUAAUUUUUCGAACACUUAUUUGGUUGGGGCGACAAGAGUAUAAAAAGUAACUGCUAGAAUUUAAUACAAAGAUAGUUGAUUAAAUGUAUUAACAGAUCCUUCAUAAGGAUUUUAAGAUCAAGUUACUUUAGGGAUAACAGCGUUAUUUCUCCUGAGAGUUCUUAUCAAAGGAGAAGUUUGCGACCUCGAUGUUGAAUUAAAAUGUCUUUAUAGUGCAGCAGCUAUAAAAGAAGGUCUGUUCGACCUUUAAUAUUUUACAUGAUUUGAGUUCAGACCGGCGGGAGC